This 476-nucleotide ribosomal RNA is filed under the name uncultured bacterium. RNAcentral describes it as "SSU rRNA". It matches the Rfam family "Bacterial small subunit ribosomal RNA", at positions 26 to 518 of the family's 1533-position model. The record is from RNAcentral.
AGGACGAACGCUGGCGGCGUGCUUAACACAUGCAAGUCGAACGGAAAGGCCCUUUCGGGGGUACUCGAGUGGCGAACGGGUGAGUAACACGUGGGUGAUCUGCCCUGCACUUCGGGAUAAGCUUGGGAAACUGGGUCUAAUACCGGAUAGGACUACGAAUCGCAUGGUUUGUGGUGGAAAGCUUUUGCGGUGUGGGAUGGGCCCGCGGCCUAUCAGCUUGUUGGUGGGGUGAUGGCCUACCAAGGCGACGACGGGUAGCCGGCCUGAGAGGGCGACCGGCCACACUGGGACUGAGACACGGCCCAGACUCCUACGGGAGGCAGCAGUGGGGAAUCUUGCGCAAUGGGCGAAAGCCUGACGCAGCGACGCCGCGUGGGGGAUGAAGGCCUUCGGGUUGUAAACCCCUUUCAGCAGGACGAAGCGAAAGUGACGGUACCUGCAGAAGAAGCGCCGGCUAACUACGCGCCAGCAGCCGC